GGGGCAUAUGAGUGAGGGCUUCGGGCUCGACCUCCAACCCUUUGUGAACACAACUUGUUGCUUCGGGGGCGACCCUGCCGUUUCGACGGCGAGCGCCCCCGGAGGCCUUCAAACACUGCAUCUUUGCGUCGGAGUUUAAGUAAAUUAAACAAAACUUUCAACAACGGAUCUCUUGGUUCUGGCAUCGAUGAAGAACGCAGCGAAAUGCGAUAAGUAAUGUGAAUUGCAGAAUUCAGUGAAUCAUCGAAUCUUUGAACGCACAUUGCGCCCCUUGGUAUUCCGAGGGGCAUGCCUGUUCGAGCGUCAUUUCACCACUCAAGCCUCGCUUGGUAUUGGGCGCCGCGGUGUUCCGCGCGCCUCAAAGUCUCCGGCUGAGCUGUCCGUCUCUAAGCGUUGUGAUUUCAUUAAUCGCUUCGGAGCGCGGGCGGUCGCGGCCGUUAAAUCUUUCACAAGGUUGACCUCGGAUCAGGUAGGGAUACCCGCUGAACUUAAGCAUAUCAAUAAGGGCGGAGGAA
This 515-nucleotide ribosomal RNA is filed under the name Cercospora chrysanthemi. RNAcentral describes it as "eukaryotic LSU rRNA". The stretch from base 153 to 306 matches the Rfam family "5.8S ribosomal RNA". The record is from RNAcentral. Lineage: Eukaryota; Fungi; Ascomycota; Dothideomycetes; Mycosphaerellales; Mycosphaerellaceae.